Long non-coding RNA from Salvia splendens (bonfire salvia), 593 nucleotides. RefSeq lists it as uncharacterized. The transcript is spliced from 3 exons. The record is from RefSeq and is a predicted model, not a curated record. Lineage: Eukaryota; Viridiplantae; Streptophyta; Magnoliopsida; Lamiales; Lamiaceae.
GAACCGAUGCCAUGGGGCACGUGCAAGUAAGGGGUGGUGUCACUACAUAGAUAGACCGUAUAUGAAGAGGGCAACUGUAAAGUACCAUUUUUACGGCCUUGUUUGGGCUUUCCAGAUUUGGUCGUAUCAGGCCAUUCAAGCACUAGGAAUGAAAUGUGGAGUUCAAGACCGAAAGAUAUAUUGCCUCGAUAUUAAGGUGGAGCCAAAGCUGGACAAUAGAACUUAUUAUAAGUAUGUCAUCGACGAUCCAAAGGGUCGGAUCUGAAUGAAGGGAUGGUGUCACUACAUAGAUAGACUGUAUAUGAAGAGGGCAACUGUAAGGUACCAUUUUUACGGCCAAGUUUGGGCUUUUCAGAUUUGGUCGCAUCAGGCCAUUCCGACACUAGGAAAGAAAUGUGGAGUUCAAGACUGAAAUAUAUAUUGCCUCAAUAUUUAUGGUGGAGCGAAAGGUGGAUAAUAGAACUUAUUAUAAGUAUGUCAUCGAUGAUCUAAAGUUUAUGUAUCCUAACUGGGGCGGUCGUUGGAGGGCCGGAUCAGAAUGAUUGGUUCCCGGAUCAACGUGGCAAUUACGAGCAAUCAUAACCCACCACCUA